UACGGAGGGGGCUAGCGUUGUUCGGAAUUACUGGGCGUAAAGCGCGCGUAGGCGGACCUGCAAGUCGGGGGUGAAAGCCCGAGGCUCAACCUCGGAACUGCCUUCGAUACUGCCGUGCUUGAGGACUGGAGAGGAGACUGGAAUUUACGGUGUAGCGGUGAAAUGCGUAGAUAUCGUAAGGAAGACCAGUGGCGAAGGCGGGUCUCUGGACAGUUCCUGACGCUGAGGCACGAAGGCCAGGGGAGCAAACGGG
RNAcentral lists this ribosomal RNA (253 nucleotides) under uncultured bacterium. RNAcentral describes it as "partial 16S ribosomal RNA". It matches the Rfam family "Bacterial small subunit ribosomal RNA", at positions 524 to 776 of the family's 1533-position model. The record is from RNAcentral.